Molecule: ribosomal RNA, 490 nt
Filed under: uncultured bacterium
Lineage: Bacteria
Description: partial 16S ribosomal RNA
Rfam family: Bacterial small subunit ribosomal RNA
Source: RNAcentral
AUUGAACGCUGGCGGCAGGCCUAACACAUGCAAGUCGAACGGUAACAGGAAACAGCUUGCUGUUUCGCUGACGAGUGGCGGACGGGUGAGUAAUGUCUGGGAAACUGCCUGAUGGAGGGGGAUAACUACUGGAAACGGUAGCUAAUACCGCAUAACGUCGCAAGACCAAAGAGGGGGACCUUCGGGCCUCUUGCCAUCGGAUGUGCCCAGAUGGGAUUAGCUAGUAGGUGGGGUAACGGCUCACCUAGGCGACGAUCCCUAGCUGGUCUGAGAGGAUGACCAGCCACACUGGAACUGAGACACGGUCCAGACUCCUACGGGAGGCAGCAGUGGGGAAUAUUGCACAAUGGGCGCAAGCCUGAUGCAGCUAUGCCGCGUGUAUGAAGAAGGCCUUCGGGUUGUAAAGUACUUUCAGCGGGGAGGAAGGGAGUAAAGUUAAUACCUUUACUCAUUGACGUUACCCGCAGAAGAAGCACCGGCUAACUCCGUG